Molecule: non-coding RNA, 224 nt
Filed under: Albidovulum aquaemixtae
Lineage: Bacteria; Pseudomonadati; Pseudomonadota; Alphaproteobacteria; Rhodobacterales; Paracoccaceae
Source: RNAcentral
CUCAGGUGAGGCGGCGCUGGUUCCUGUCAUAUGGCAGGCGAAGAGGGAAUGCGACAGGCUUUGCGACCGAUCGCGGUUCGGGGCCGAAGCGCAGCCGCCCCCGCGACCGUGACCGGAGAGGUCCCCCGUGUCCCACUGGCAGAGGCCGGGAAGGGGGUGGGGCCGGCGGAGCGAAGCUCCGACAUCCGCAAGCCGGGAGACCUGCCAGCGCUGGAUGUGUGACG